GGGGGCGAAUGGAUUCGACCGGGUGUUGUGAAAGGGUAGCGGCGUGCCGAGGUCGCCGGUGGGCCUCGUUAAUCAACCGGCAAAAACUUUACAUGCCAACUAUCCGUUGAGCAUGGCUGCGUAGUAACGCGGCCCGUCUGGUCGGCGACGCCUGCUAGCUGACUCGACGACGAUAGCAGGCUGGCACUCGUGCGACGCCUGACCGCACGGGAGCGAGAAAACAGUCGGGCUGGCCAAUCCCGGAGCCUGUCGAUCGGCGCCGGAAGCGGCGAGAUUCAAAUGAUCAGACUACGCACGUAGAACCUAUCCCGGAUCCACCGCGGGACGGGGGUUCGAUUCCCCCCGCCUCCAUUG
RNAcentral lists this transfer-messenger RNA (354 nucleotides) under Phycisphaerae. RNAcentral's name for it is "JADFPW01 sp022562105 Standard tmRNA". It matches the Rfam family "transfer-messenger RNA". Rfam says of the family: Bacterial tmRNA, also known as 10Sa RNA or SsrA, is named for its dual tRNA and mRNA-like properties. Its role is to liberate the mRNA from a stalled ribosome. RNAcentral also lists the same sequence under 1 other name. The record is from RNAcentral. Lineage: Bacteria; Pseudomonadati; Planctomycetota.